CGGCCGCCGAACCUGCAUGGGAGGCAGUCUUUCGGCUGCCGAACGUGCCCCCGAAGGCUGAGUUUCGUUUCUGUCCUGGGGUUUCGGCCGCCGAACCUGCCGCCGAACCUACCCGAGUUUCGUCUCUGGAAGGGACUUUCGGCCGCCGAAGGUGCCGCUGAAAGUGCCCUGUCCAGCCGUUUCAUGGGUGUUUUCUAUGCAUGUUUCUAUGAUGUUUUAGAGGGGUUUUUGGGGGUAUGUUUAUGAGUUGUUUAGAGUAUGUUUGGCACCUCAUUCGAGUCCACCUGUGUAGGAUCGGACCCGAGAGACCGAGGAGGCCAGUAGUGUUAGCUGUGCAGAGCAAGUUCAGCGUCUGCCAGAGGUGAGUAGAACUAAACUAAAUCUUUAUUUUAUGAAAUCAAAUGCCUAAAGCAUGCUCAUGCAUCAUGUUUAUAUGUAAUAGGUUGAUUGCACUAGUUACACGAAUAUGAAGCAUUGCAUUAUUUACUGUUGAUGGAGAUUGGACCAAGGGCGACCCCACUAGCCCCAUGGAAAAGACCUGGCUGGGCCAGGCAUUACGAAGUCCUGUGGUGCCCUCUAUGGUGGCCGGGCAAAUAGCUUAGGGAUGUUUUGGGGUUGGGUCCAAUCCGUGAUAUGAUUUGUUUGUGCUGUGACGCAUUUCAUGAAAGCAUGUAAUUAAUGAACUGUUUUCUUUGUUUCUACUCACUGGGCUUUUUAGCUCACCCCUCUCCCCUAACCCCAGUGUUG
Molecule: long non-coding RNA, 747 nt
Filed under: Manihot esculenta (cassava)
Lineage: Eukaryota; Viridiplantae; Streptophyta; Magnoliopsida; Malpighiales; Euphorbiaceae
Description: long non-coding RNA (MESC_LNC002245)
Source: RNAcentral